Molecule: unclassified non-coding RNA, 541 nt
Filed under: Candida tropicalis
Lineage: Eukaryota; Fungi; Ascomycota; Pichiomycetes; Serinales; Debaryomycetaceae
Description: sequence contains 18S rRNA gene, ITS1, 5.8S rRNA gene, ITS2, 28S rRNA gene
Rfam family: 5.8S ribosomal RNA (bases 185-338)
Source: RNAcentral
AGUCGUAACAAGGUUUCCGUAGGUGAACCUGCGGAAGGAUCAUUACUGAUUUGCUUAAUUGCACCACAUGUGUUUUUUAUUGAACAAAUUUCUUUGGUGGCGGGAGCAAUCCUACCGCCAGAGGUUAUAACUAAACCAAACUUUUUAUUUACAGUCAAACUUGAUUUAUUAUUACAAUAGUCAAAACUUUCAACAACGGAUCUCUUGGUUCUCGCAUCGAUGAAGAACGCAGCGAAAUGCGAUACGUAAUAUGAAUUGCAGAUAUUCGUGAAUCAUCGAAUCUUUGAACGCACAUUGCGCCCUUUGGUAUUCCAAAGGGCAUGCCUGUUUGAGCGUCAUUUCUCCCUCAAACCCCCGGGUUUGGUGUUGAGCAAUACGCUAGGUUUGUUUGAAAGAAUUUAACGUGGAAACUUAUUUUAAGCGACUUAGGUUUAUCCAAAAACGCUUAUUUUGCUAGUGGCCACCACAAUUUAUUUCAUAACUUUGACCUCAAAUCAGGUAGGACUACCCGCUGAACUUAAGCAUAUCAAUAAGCGGAGGA